CACAGCAUGACGGGUAUUAAGACAAGCCCUCUCCAAGCGGAAAGAUGGCGGCGUUCUAUCGAUCUUUUCAUGACUGGUUCUGGGCCGAGUCAUUCUGGUUACCGGGGAACACUACAUGGGCCGAGGUUCACGCUAGAAAAAACCUUCGAGUUGUUCAAGCAGGGGAAUUGUACUUGUGUCUCCCCAUCGCAGUAGCUUUGAUAGUGCUUCGAGUCGCUUUUGAAAGGCUUAUUGCUAGUCCUUUUGUGCAGUCUCUGGGAGUUAAGGACAAGAAGAUAAAUUUCACUCCUAACCCUUUUUGUGAAAAAGUCUACCAGACAAUAAACAAGUUCCCACCUUCAGACAGGAUACUCGGGCUGUCCAAACAGAUCGGCUGGACGACUCGGGAAGUGGAGAGAUGGUUCAGACACCGACGCAUGCAGUCCAAACCUUCACUUCUUAAGAAAGCCAAGGAAAGCAGUUGGAGAUUUGUUUUUUAUACUGGGGCAACAAUAUAUGGGUUCUGUAUCUUAUACAAGGAAAAAUGGCUUUGGGACACAGAUCACUGUUUUAUAGGCUAUCAUGGGCAUGUGAUGUCAGAAGAGCUAUACAUUUAUUAUGUUGUAGAGCUUGGGUUCUACGUUUCUCUUACAAUCUCACAGUUUGUAGACGUACAAAGGAAGGACUUUUGGCAGAUGCUCAUCCACCACAUUGUCACCAUUCUUCUGCUCUCGUUUUCGUAUGCAGCAGCGUUUUUCCGCAUAGGUGCUGUCAUUGUGCUAGUCCAUGAUGUAUCUGAUGUCUUUUUAGAGGCAGCAAAAGUAGCAAACUACGCAAAACUUCGACAACUUUGUGACUGUCUUUUUGUCUUGUUUGCUAUCAGUUUUUUUGUGGCUAGACUGUUUAUUUACCCUGUUUGGGUUAUAUAUCCAACUGUGUAUGUAACUGUUGAGUAUCUAGGAGACUUCCCAUCACGGAUUCUCUUUCUCACACUGCUCUCCCUUCUGCAGGUAAUAUUCCUAGUCUUAUCUUUCUUCCCUCUCAAAGUCUUAUUGUGUACUAAUACUAAAAAACUCUUAUCACUGCAAAUCCUACCUUUUAUAUUCUAACAUUUUGCUAAGCAAUGCUAUGACAAAUAUACACCAUGAAGUACAGCUCAAACAUUUAUUUAUUCGAUCAUUCAUUUAGCCACACACAGCACACUGUGAAUGCUUUUUCCCUGAAUUCUGUGGGAUGCUUGAGUGAAAUCUUCAGGCUUGUAUCCAUCAAACAACCAAAAAAAGAUAGGAAUUAAUUUGAUUUGUGGCAGCCAGAUUCAAGGUAUCAUGAUAUCAGUUUUUGUAGAACAUUAUCUUUUGGAAGGUGCUGUGUUCAUAGUUUGCAAAGUCAGUUUUUCAACUUAAGAGAAUAACGUUGUAAUAUCAUUGACUACUACCCAUUUGUGAGGACUUUUUAAGCCUCAGAACAAAAACAAAACAAACUCAUUAGAGUUUUUAACCUUUCUUGGCACAUAACUUGAUGCUAAACACUGGACAAAGUCACUUUUAUCCCAAUUUUAUUUUAUUCAUCACAUUUUAUGGUUCUGACAAAUCAAUCAUGUGUUAGCAAGUAGCCAAUCAGAAAGGAGGACGUUAAAGCAGCCACAUGCAAGCAGUGCUCCUGCAAAAGUCUUGCAAAAUUGUUUUACAAAGUCUACAAAGUCUAAUAAACACUUCUGGUCAGCUUAGGAAAUGUUAGUCUUCCUGAGAUGGUAAAGAAUUUGUAAAACAUUUCUGUGUGAGUUUUGCCGAACAAUAUGGCUCGCAUUAUGUGAGCUCUAUUCUUGCUACUGCUUAAGGCUGAGUGACAGGUCGGAACUAUGCAUUGUGUAGAAUGAGUAACAAAACAUAAAGCACUCUGUUUGCCUUGUCAGCAAUUCUUCAAAGCUGCAUUAUUGCAUUUUAUCUUGUUUUGUUCUGUUAUAUUUUUGUUUUGAUUUUUUUGAUAGUUUAUUUACAGGUGCCACUCCCUGCACAUUCAUGCAGCUAAGAUAUCAAUUAGGUUUUAGUUAUUAUUUGUCUUUUGCUUUGUGUUUGUUUGGUUUAGUUAUUUUUUAUACUAUUUUAGCACAUUGCAUGCACUUUUUGUUUGAACUAUAUCAAAUUGAUUUUGUUAAUAAAAAAAUAUUUCUCAUCCUCAAUCAAUAUUAUCCCUUUCACUCUUCUCCAAAUCAGUGUUAAUCUUCUAUUGGUGCAUAUAAUAGCAUGAUAUGCUUCCAUCUUACCUGGCAUUUGAGAAUGCUAUAAACAUGACCAGGCGUCCUGCAACUUACCACCCAGAAGCAUACAUAACUUACCUGAAUUUUUUAUUUGAAAAUUGAUUUCAAUACCCUAUUGCCAACUAGAAUUGCAUUCCCAAUAAACCAUCCUCUUGCUUAUUUUUUUAAUGAAACAUCCUUUAGAAGCAUGGGAUAAAAUCCCCUCAAAGAGAAAGGGAAAAAAGAAAGACUAAAAAGAAUUCAACCCAGCUAAAAUAUGCCAAUUCAAGUACACUCCCCCAACCCCAUGGAUGAAUGUCAAUCAAGUUUUAUGAAACAUGUAUUUUGCAUGCUCAUUACUAAUUUUGACAUGUAUUUUUUUAUUUACUCCUUGGUUGAUGUUCAAAAAGAAAAAUUAUUUCUUAUUGCAUUGUUUAGAUCCUCCAUAUUUUCUGGGGUUGGAGCAUCAUUGUAGUUGUGUACAGACUCUCGCAUGGCAAGGAUGCCAAAGAUGUGCGUAGUGACGAGGAAAGCUCCGCUG
This is an RNA transcript of Nematostella vectensis (starlet sea anemone), 2756 nucleotides long. It is a transcript of the gene named ceramide synthase 6, with no coding region annotated. NCBI's taxonomy places the organism in Eukaryota, Metazoa, Cnidaria, Anthozoa, Actiniaria, Edwardsiidae. The record is from RefSeq and is a predicted model, not a curated record. The transcript is spliced from 9 exons.